Non-coding RNA from Nicotiana tabacum (common tobacco), 496 nucleotides. NCBI's taxonomy places the organism in Eukaryota, Viridiplantae, Streptophyta, Magnoliopsida, Solanales, Solanaceae. The record is from RefSeq and is a predicted model, not a curated record.
CUAUAUAUCAUAAUCAGUUAGGUCGUCAGUUGCGUAAAGAUAAAAGAUACACAUAUAUACAACAUGUGGAAAAGUGAUUGAACUUAGCUCCACCGGAAAAACUUCAACUUACGAACGCUCUCUGUAACGCUCCCCCCUCCCAACGGUCAAGAAAUUUCCAGAUCCAGCCUUAGCUGGCGAAUUCCCGGCGCCAACGACCACCUCCUCUAACAGGUUAGGACUUGUGGCUGUUAGCGGCGAACAGGAUGUGUGUGUGCAAACAUUAACGAACAAUCCGAGCGCGUGACAGCAAGGGGCGGCAGGAGUUGGACGCGAACGCGCUAGGUGGCAAUAUCAUCGUCGUAUAUAACAAGACAAUCCCCAGGUUCUACUCGUAGGAGUUGGUACCUCCCAUUUUCCUAUUUUCUGUUGUUGUGUUAGUUAAAUUAGUGCCAUCUUAGUUUGUAUUAGUAUAUUCAACGUAUUAGUGUGCCUACAGUUGCAACUUAUCUUCUUC